UUUACGGGAGUCAUCUCUGCCUCACACUUUCUACACUUUUACUACACCCAGAAACACCGCCAUUUACAUUCACACAUACUCAGCGAUGAGCCGUUGCCUCCCUCCGGUGACCACCCCAGCUGACUCCUCUUCGCCUCUCUCUCUCUCUCUCUGUCUCAACCCUGCUCUUCAAACACACGCCUCGUUCUCCCUCUGCGCUGCCGCUGUCCGACGUUUCUGUCGCUGCCAUCACCGGAUUCCGGCAACUGUAGGAUAGUCUUGUCUAACCCUUAUGAGAUAACAAGGACAUGGAGAAGGAGCAGGAAUAAAGCGAUUCGUAUGUCAAAGGUGUGUGGCAUUUUUGAGAUUAGGUGGUCAGACUAGCCCUUUUGCUUUUGUGGUAUAGCUGCGCAAGUCGGCUCACUAACCAAAGUUUUGCGUUUGGGUAAUUCUUUUGGAUUUGCUAAUUGUGGCAUGUAUAGGAAGUGUAAUAUAAUUGGAACAUUUUAGUUAUUUCAUACACUUCAGGUAAACAAGUAUAUUUUGUGAAUAGUUAUCCAGGUUGUGUAUAUAUAUAGAUGUUAUAUAGCCGUUUGUUUGUUUACCAAGUAAUGGAAAAUAAUUUAUCUAUAA
This is a long non-coding RNA of Salvia splendens (bonfire salvia), 612 nucleotides long. RefSeq lists it as uncharacterized. The record is from RefSeq and is a predicted model, not a curated record. Lineage: Eukaryota; Viridiplantae; Streptophyta; Magnoliopsida; Lamiales; Lamiaceae. The transcript has 3 exons.